UCUGUCAAUCAAUCGUUAUCAGCAUCCGUUGCAUUGCACUUCAUCGGGGAAAGAAAAUCGCGUAAAUAAAAAAUCACACGAAACAACAAGACACAGCAAUAUACACAGUUAUAGUUCCGUUAAUUGAAUGAUAUCGUUACUGACAUAAAAGGUGUGAAAAAGUGAUAUUAGCGUGGAGAGUAUUAGCCCUUUGAAAUAUUUAUGGUUUGUGGAAAAACCAAUUUUAUGGCAUUCCCGUACUAUUGAUUGUGUUUUUAGUGUUUCAAAAGCUAUUACAUGAACAGAAUGGAAGGGAGUAGCGACUCUCUGUCGGUGGUCGCCCCGUCUGUGGGGGGGUCUUCGUCCGUAUUGCUCACUCCUGGGCGGACAAGAAACAUCGCUCAGGAUAUGGAAGCCCUCAGAUUAUCACGACAGGACAACCCUUAUUUACAGCAAGUAAUGGCGAGUAGAGAAAGCUUGAUAGAGAGCCAUGCUGAUGAGUGUGAAUCUGAUGACACCAUACUUAUGUCACAGGAGUUUGGCAGCACAGCAUUGGAUUUUGUGGAAGAUGAUCCUCUCACUUUGAAAGAGGUUCAUGAACACAUGAUCAGGUCCCCUCCACCGACAAGCUGUUGGCCACAUGAGUCCCUCUCGUACCGAGCGACAUCGGCGUUCGACUUCGGAGGCAGCCAGCUCUCCUAUAGCGCUUACUCGGUCAAUUCUCACGACAAGGACCUGCGGUCCCCGCGGCGCGCGCGCAACGAUGAGAUCCGCAACAACAACGCCCCCGGACGACCCAGGUCAUCUAGGUCCGCGUCCCCGAGGUCACAUGACCUCAGCCUGUGUGGGCGUCCGUUGUCGUUACCAGGCGAAAGUCACCUGCGUACGGCUUUAACCAAGAAGCAGUCUAACCAAAGCGAACGGUUUUCCCUCCUACAGCACCCGCGCCCACUGCGGAGGCCGCACGGAAGCCGACGAGACGAAGACAGCGUCCAACUCGUUCAGGAAUACGACAAGUAGGUUUACAAUUACGGCUUUAUGUCAAAAAGGUCUUACAAAUACGACUUCACGUCAAAAAUAUCUCUAAAGUGCGACUUUAUGUCAAAAAUAUCUCUAAAGUGCGACUUUAUGUCAAAAAGAUCUCUAAAAUACGACUUUACGUCCAAAAGAUCUCGAAAGUACGACGUAACAUCAAAAUGAUCUUAAAAAAAAUAAGAUUUACAGCCAUUGCUAAGUCCAUAGUAUCUUCGAAGAUGAAGUUGGUUUAAGCUAAGGUUAGUUGGUUGAAAAGAGUUUUGUUAUACUUAUGGGUACAUCCACAGGUUAUAAAAUUUCAAGUACUAAUGUAUAAAUUAUGAGAAAAAAAUAAAAGUUGGAAAUAGUGACGGGUUUAGUCGUUAAAAGCGAAUAAAUAAAAUAUCUACGUAGAAGGAAAAACGUAGCCAUAUUGGCAACACCGAAGGCAUUGAAUCAAUAAAAAUCUACGUACGUUAUCCUCAGUGUUGCAAGCCUUGAUGUGUACAACUACCAACUUGUGGCUUCUUGGUGUUAUUAUUAGGCUUAACUGUCUUCUCUUAUGAACGUGCUACGCUACAAAAAUAACUAAUGCAGGCUGUAUGGUCUCAAGAUCUUUGCCUGGCUUAUAAAAAACAACAACUAAUAAAAAGUUUGUAAAAUACCGGGAAAAAUACGGAGUUCGAUGCAUUCCUUUUCCUUGCAAUUUAUCGGGAUUAAUAAAAAUAAGAAGUGACUAUUUCAAAAGAUCAGUUUAAACAAAUUACCUGUAUCGUAUUAGAAAAAGUUAUUAUUUAAGUAUAUAAAAUAUCGGCAUUGUGAAUGACAAAUGGUAGUUGGUUUAAAAAACGGUUUUUUUUUUAAAUCAAAUGAGUUUCCUCGUGACACUAUUCUGCCUCACAAAGAGCUGCCGAAAUGUAUAAAGGAUUUAGAAAUGUUUAAUGGCGAGGGAUAAAAAUAAACAUUUUAAUAAAUAAUACAAAAAUAUCAGCUAAAGCACGUCCAAUAAACAAACUUGAACGUAGAAAAUUUAAGUUUUCUCGUAACGUCAAAUGAAAAACUCAAAAUUCCUAUAAAUGCUCACUUUUGUAGUUUAGUCGUCCCUAAAAUUCCUAACCUAAUGUAGAUAUAAUAGUGCCGAUUCAAGCAGACUGAACUUAAUUUUAUUUUAGUCUGAUAGCUCUAAAAAUAUUGUCAUCCUUCACUUACAAAUUACAAUACGUGUAAGAAAACGUACGAUACGUGUGAGUUUUGUUCUGUCUUUAGUUAAAAUUAAGUUGGUGGUUGUCCGAAUCGGCACAUAAUAUAGUGCCGAUUAUGGCAGGAGAAACUUAAUUUUAUUAAAUAGUGCAAGACGGAGAUAAAUAUUGUUUUAGAACUAUCAAACUAAAUUAAAAUUGAGUUUGUGUCUGCAAAAAUACUUAGAUUGAAGUAGAAAAGGGAAUAUAUAUUAUUAUUUUAUAUAUUUGAUAUUUAUGCUAAUGGUUUGUAGGAGCAAUGAACAAAAAAAAAUUUGACAUGAUUCUUGUAGAUUUUUUUUUCAUUGCCUCAGAUGGCAUUAACUCUCAGAACAAUAACUAAAGCAUAGAAGGAAGGCUAAAAUAAGAAUUCAGAAACUAUAAACCGGCUCUCUUCUAGCUUACGACACAAACUAUGAGUGAGAAAAGGACAAAUGAUUCGCUCUUUGCUUCAUUUUUUUCCGAGGUUGUCACAACAUGAAAUGUCAUUUGGACCUAUUGGACUCAUUUUAACUCGGCCAAAUAAAUAAUAACAUAACAUAAGAAGAUUUUACUUAUAUUUACCGAACUAUUUGACACGGUCGCAUGAACGUUGUUUACGAGUGUCUUGUGUUCAGAUUGUUUUAAGUGAUAAUUUAACAAUAUUUUUCCAAAUAAAUGGAAAGAAACUUUUAUUUAUAUCAAAUAAUUGAGUGUCUCGACUCUGUGACAUUAUGUCUUGUGUGGUAUGGGGCUGCAGCUCACAUUCAGGAAGAAAAGAAAAUAGCCAACAACUUCUGUCGUUUCAUCGAUUUCCUGUAGACGAUAACAAAGAGAAAGAAUGGAUAAUUCGCAUUAAUAGACGAAAUUGGAUUCCAAAUAAGUACAGCCGUAUUUGCUCGAAACAUUUUACUGCGGAUUCAUUUAUGUGUGUUCCUAAUUCGAAGUGGAGACGUCUUCGAGACGAUGCUAUUCCUACAUUGAACAUUAUAGAUCAGACAGAUGAAAUGGUAAUUACGGCCGAGCACCACACACCCGAAGUCUCGACGGCAAAAAGGACAAAAUUGUGGGUCCGCGUUAAAUUCCCAUAUUUCGCCAGUUUUUGGCUAGCGGCCCACUCGGCAGCCGGCCCUGCGGUUCGAGUAGUACGGGGCAGGUGCGUUGCUGCAAACCUGCAAGCGCAGGUCGCGUCCCACAAUAAAGCACGCCCCCUCUCCUAGGGUAUGAGCGUGAGCCGAUCGGGCCUCUUACCGUCUGUGCGGCUUAGACCCGGCGGUUCCAAUUUGCACGGCACGUCGAUCUACACCAGUGCACGGCGGAUGACAUCAUAAAUAAAUUCGAAUAUUACAAAAUACUUAACGAUAACAGUUGGCUAUUUUCUUUCCUUCCUGAAUGUGAGCUGCAGCUCCAAACUAAUAUAAACCAGACAAUAUAAUCCAAAAAUGGUUAGAUACUUACCUAUCAGAGACAGAGUCUCCUUUCAUCAAGAAGAAGAUAAUUGCAUCCUACAAAAAGAAAUCUUGUAAAAAAAAAAAUUAUCGACAUUAAUUGUAAGUAAAUUUAAUUUUAUCGACAUAUUACUAAAGUGAAACCCAACAAUGCAAUGAAAAACUUGUGACAACCUACGAAAUUACGAAACAAUUUUUGUAUAUCAGUCUUUGUCUAACAUUACGCCGGUUCCGUAAGAUAAAGUAGAGCAGAAUUAUAGAGUUCUGUUGCUAUUUUAGCCUUCCUUCUAUGCUUUAGUUAUUGUUCUGAGCAUUAACUACUUGGCCGGACAAAUAGGAAGCUGUUCAUGUAACCAUACUGUAAUUAAAUAUCUCCCUUUUUGCAUUAAUCUAAGGUAAAUAUAUCUAGUUAUUCUUAGGUAUAGUUUAGUGUAAAUUGUUAAAAUGUUCAGCUUAAUAGUUUGGAACAAAUAAAUAGUUCACUUAGUAUAAGGCGAGGGAACGUUACUUCAAAAGAAUAGAAAAUUAAAAGUAUUCUAGUUAGACAAUCAAAAGUGUAUUUCAUUUUUCAUUGGUUAUUGUAUUAUAAAAUGAUUUACGAUAUUAUUUGAGAAAUAUAUCCUCGAUUCAGGUAGUUGCUAACUAUGCACUAGUGCCGACUCUGUCGGACAAAACUCAAUUUACUCAGACAGUUCUAGAAAUAGUGCUGUCCUUCACUUACGAGGAGCGCGAGACAGAGAUAAAGCUAGUUUUAGAAGUAACAACUAAAUAAUUAAUUUGAUGUCUAUGCCUAUUGAUGUCAGCAACGCAGACGUAAUUUGAUUUUGACAUUUCUAAAAAUAAUCAAUGAUUGUCAAAUUUGUUUUCGAAUUCAUAUUUGAAUUAUGACGUGCUCAGCGGUGAAGGAAAACAUUGUGAGGCAACCCACAUUCCCGAGAAAUGCA
RNAcentral lists this unclassified non-coding RNA (4602 nucleotides) under Pectinophora gossypiella (pink bollworm). Its description in RNAcentral is "uncharacterized LOC126371528". The record is from RNAcentral. Lineage: Eukaryota; Metazoa; Arthropoda; Insecta; Lepidoptera; Gelechiidae.